RNAcentral lists this ribosomal RNA (1212 nucleotides) under Triticum aestivum (bread wheat). Its description in RNAcentral is "partial small subunit ribosomal RNA". Lineage: Eukaryota; Viridiplantae; Streptophyta; Magnoliopsida; Poales; Poaceae. The record is from RNAcentral.
AUGAUGCACGGCAUGUACCAGGUCAGGGAGGACCGCCAAGUUCUUCUUUCGAUGUCUUUCGAUGUCUCCGAAAUCGCCAAGUACCAUGACCCGCUAGGCCAACGACACCCGAACGAGUGCUUCCGGCCGAGACAUUUGUGUGGCUACGUUUUGGACACGCCAAGUCCCUCGGGUCGGAUGCGUCAAGACCGCCCCGGUUGUUGCCAAGUACCACGACCCUGGAGUCCUCGGACCCGUCAAUCCAUCAACAUCUCUUUCUUCCUGAGUCAGGUUCCGAGCGAGAUGGGGUCGCGAUGCAGACAAUGCUGGGCGCGGCGGCGGCGAUCUCCAGCCAGAUCCGAUCGAGGGGUCGAGGCAGGGGCUGGAUCCUGUUCAGGGGAUGGCGUGGAGGCGAUCUACAAAUCGCGGGAGGAGGUCAGGCGACGGGGCUUCAACUCCAAGUUCAUGGCGGCGGCGUUCCUCCCCGGUUCCGACCAAGAUGGGGAGCUCCGGCGGAGUCUCUCCAUGGAUAAGCCGAUGGGACAAGGCCUAGGUAAGAGGAAAAACAUGUGUUGCAUCGACACAUUUGAUGCAGAGCGGCCACUUAUAUGUUGGUCAAGAUUCAACUUUGUUUAUGUCCAUGUUUUGCUGCAUAUGGAUGUGCAAAAUAUUCUUAGGGGCAUUAGCCUAGACAAGGAUGUUGAUGGUUUACAUCCCUUAAACAUUGGUAAUGUUGCCCUCAGAAGCUGGAAACCUGUGAUUGUUUCUUGUGCUACAAUAUGGAUUUAUCUCAUGGAAAGCACGUGUGUGAUCUGUCCUAACCAGGAAGACAAUGCUGAGGUAGUACAGGUUACAUCUAUGUUCAGAGAUGAGGCUAAGAUAAAAGAUGCUCAUAAAUUUAUAGUAGCACCAAGAAGGGUUGCGUCCAUCAUCCUCAUCAUGUCCGAUCUAGGCCGCCAGAGCACCAAGUUGCUGGCCUAUUCUAACAAGUCUAGGCCCUCGAGGCAUCCCUUCUGGCUGUGGAAGGAGACCCCGAUCUGUAGGAGCGACGAUAACCACCUUUAUGUCGAUCUAAGCGGUGGAGAGUUUGGUAUGGUGGCAAAUCAAGCAACUGCAGAUGGAGUCAUUCCAUGUUACUGCAUUGAGUUAGCAUACAUGGCAUGGAUGAUAGAUCAAACCCAAGUGAUUUGGAUUCUCAUGCUGGCACCUUCUCACAGUCGUGAACAUCCGUGA